CUUUAAAAAUCUGGAUCAAGCUGAAAAUUGAAACGACACACUUUAAGUGUGUUCGAGUCUCUCAAAUGCUUGCAAUGCGAAGUGAAACAUCUUCGG
Molecule: non-coding RNA, 96 nt
Organism: Pluralibacter gergoviae
Lineage: Bacteria; Pseudomonadati; Pseudomonadota; Gammaproteobacteria; Enterobacterales; Enterobacteriaceae
Rfam family: Salmonella enterica Typhi npcRNA 44
Source: Rfam